This 273-nucleotide long non-coding RNA is filed under the name Salvia miltiorrhiza (redroot sage). RNAcentral describes it as "long non-coding RNA (SMIL_LNC014153)". The record is from RNAcentral. Lineage: Eukaryota; Viridiplantae; Streptophyta; Magnoliopsida; Lamiales; Lamiaceae.
GUGACGGAGAUGACAGACCCAAACGGCGUAGAGGGAUUAGGGCUCGUCCCUUUCUCCCUCGAGCGUGUGUAUUCAGAGGGAAAUUUGGGUUUCAUCCAUUCUUGCAGGCGUAAAUACGUGAGAGAGAGUGAUUUGGGGAGAGAGAGACUUGAGGGCAACGUCGACGAGCCUCCUCGGAUAUCGAGAAACGGCGGCGCCUAAGCCAUGGCGGCGAUUUCACCUGAACAGGAAAGGAGGAUUUAGGGCACAGACGCGGCGGAGCGUGGUGUCGCC